GACGAACGCUGGCGGCGUGCUUAACACAUGCAAGUCGAACGAAGAGCGAUGGAAGCUUGCUUCUAUCAAUCUUAGUGGCGAACGGGUGAGUAACGCGUAAUCAACCUGCCCUUCAGAGGGGGACAACAGUUGGAAACGACUGCUAAUACCGCAUACGAUCUAAUCUCGGCAUCGAGGAUAGAUGAAAGGUGGCCUCUACAUGUAAGCUAUCACUGAAGGAGGGGAUUGCGUCUGAUUAGCUAGUUGGAGGGGUAACGGCCCACCAAGGCGAUGAUCAGUAGCCGGUCUGAGAGGAUGAACGGCCACAUUGGGACUGAGACACGGCCCAGACUCCUACGGGAGGCAGCAGUGGGGAAUCUUCCGCAAUGGACGAAAGUCUGACGGAGCAACGCCGCGUGAGUGAUGACGGCCUUUGGGUUGUAAAGCUCUGUUAAUCGGGACGAAAGGCCUUCUUGCGAAUAGUGAGAAGGAUUGACGGUACCGGAAUAGAAAGCCACGGCUAACUACGUG
Molecule: ribosomal RNA, 510 nt
Filed under: uncultured bacterium
Lineage: Bacteria
Description: partial 16S ribosomal RNA
Rfam family: Bacterial small subunit ribosomal RNA
Source: RNAcentral